This 484-nucleotide ribosomal RNA is filed under the name uncultured bacterium. Its description in RNAcentral is "partial 16S ribosomal RNA". It matches the Rfam family "Bacterial small subunit ribosomal RNA", at positions 30 to 507 of the family's 1533-position model. The record is from RNAcentral.
AUUGAACGCUGGCGGCAGGCCUAACACAUGCAAGUCGAGCGGAUGAAGGGAGCUUGCUCCUGGAUUCAGCGGCGGACGGGUGAGUAAUGCAUAGGAAUCUGCCUGGUAGUGGGGGAUAACGUCCGGAAACGGGCGCUAAUAACGCAUACGUCCUGAGGGAGCAAGUGGGGGGUCUUCGGAACUCACGCUCUCAGAUGAGCCUAGGUCGGAUUAGCUAGUUGGUGGGGUAAAGGGCUACCAAGUGGACGAUCCGUAACUGGUCUGAGAGGAUGAUCAGUCACACGAGAACGUAGACACGGUCCAUGCUCCUACGGGAGGCAGCAGUGGGGAACGUUGGACAAUGGUCGAAAGCCUUAUCCAGCCAUGCCGCGUGUGUGAAGAAGGUCUUCGGAGUGGAAAGCAGUUUAAGUUGGUAGGAAGGGCAGUAAGUUAAUACCUUGCUGGUUUGACGUUACCAACAGAAGAAGCACCGGCUAACUUCGUG